GAGUGGCGGACGGGUGAGUAAUGUCUGGGAAACUGCCUGAUGGAGGGGGAUAACUACUGGAAACGGUAGCUAAUACCGCAUAACGUCUUCGGACNAAAGUGGGGGACCUUCGGGCCUCAUGCCAUCAGAUGUGCCCAGAUGGGAUUAGCUAGUAGGUGGGGUAAAGGCUCACCUAGGCGACGAUCCCUAGCUGGUCUGAGAGGAUGACCAGCCACACUGGAACUGAGACACGGUCCAGACUCCUACGGGAGGCAGCAGUGGGGAAUAUUGCACAAUGGGCGCAAGCCUGAUGCAGCCAUGCCGCGUGUAUGAAGAAGGCCUUCGGGUUGUAAAGUACUUUCAGCGAGGAGGAAGGGAUUGUGGUUAAUAACCGCAGUCAUUGACGUUACUCGCAGAAGAAGCACCGGCUAACUCCGUGCCAGCAGCCGCGGUAAUACGGAGGGUGCAAGCGUUAAUCGGAAUUACUGGGCGUAAAGCGCACGCAGGCGGUUUGUUAAGUCAGAUGUGAAAUCCCCGGGCUCAACCUGGGAACUGCAUUUGAAACUGGCAGGCUUGAGUCUCGUAGAGGGGGGUAGAAUUCCAGGUGUAGCGGUGAAAUGCGUA
RNAcentral lists this ribosomal RNA (603 nucleotides) under Cronobacter sp. B06_18_27F_1072941_046. Its description in RNAcentral is "bacterial SSU rRNA". It matches the Rfam family "Bacterial small subunit ribosomal RNA", at positions 93 to 692 of the family's 1533-position model. The record is from RNAcentral. Lineage: Bacteria; Pseudomonadati; Pseudomonadota; Gammaproteobacteria; Enterobacterales; Enterobacteriaceae.